Molecule: ribosomal RNA, 497 nt
Filed under: uncultured bacterium
Lineage: Bacteria
Description: partial 16S ribosomal RNA
Rfam family: Bacterial small subunit ribosomal RNA
Source: RNAcentral
GAUGAACGCUGGCGGCGUGCCUAAUACAUGCAAGUCGAGCGAACAGACUCGGUGCUUGCUCCUCUGACGGUAGCGGCGGACUGGUGAGUAACACGUGGAUAACCUGCCUACUAAACUGAGAGAACUUCGAGAAACCGGAGCUAUUGCCAUAUCAUAUAUUCAAUCUCAUGGUUGCUUCGUGAAUGACGGAUUUUGUGUUUCUUAUAGAUUGAUUUGUGCCGCAUUAGCUAGUUGGUAAGGUAACGGCUUACCAAGGCAACGAUGCGUAGCCGACCUGAGAGGGUGACCGGCCACACUGGAACUGAGACACGGCCCAGACUCCUACGGGAGGCAGCAGUAGGGAAUCUUCCGCAAUGGGGGAAAGCCUGACGGAGCAACGCCGCGUGAAUGAUGAAGGUCUUCGGAACGUAAAACUCUGUUAUUAGGGAAGAACAAAUGUGUAAGUAACUAUGCACGUAUUGACGGUACCUAAUAAGAAAGCCACGGCUAACUACGUG